UUUGAGACAGGACCAUCAUGUUUAUUGACAGAGAAGACACUGGAGGUUCAUCACCGUGAGGCAGUUGGCUACUGGUCUUCAUUGGGAAAAAGCAAAGCGGAAGCGUGACACACUUUCACAAGGGAGACAAGAUUUUCUCUGAGGCUUAAUACCGUAUCACUAUUUUCAAUCAUAUCUUGACAAGUGCUGGGAAGGAGGGCAGCUCAUGGACAGAAAAAUGCUUCAACUUAUAUCUGCUUCUAAAUGGAAGGUAAA
This 255-nucleotide long non-coding RNA is filed under the name Chinchilla lanigera (long-tailed chinchilla). RNAcentral describes it as "lncRNA (ENSCLAG00000028049.1)". Lineage: Eukaryota; Metazoa; Chordata; Mammalia; Rodentia; Chinchillidae. The record is from RNAcentral.